Molecule: ribosomal RNA, 252 nt
Filed under: uncultured bacterium
Lineage: Bacteria
Description: partial 16S ribosomal RNA
Rfam family: Bacterial small subunit ribosomal RNA
Source: RNAcentral
UACGGAGGAUGCGAGCGUUAUCCGGAUUUAUUGGGUUUAAAGGGUGCGCAGGCGGAUUUUUAAGUCAGCGGUCAAAUCGUGGGGCUCAACCCCAUCCAGCCGUUGAAACUGGGGAUCUAGAGUGUGCGAGAGGUAUGCGGAAUGCGUGGUGUAGCGGUGAAAUGCAUAGAUAUCACGCAGAACCCCGAUUGCGAAGGCAGCAUACCGGUGCACAACUGACGCUCAGGCAUGAAAGCGUGGGUGUCGAACAGG